AGUUUUUAUUUUUAUUUUUCUUUUUAUUUUUCUUUUUAUUUUUUGUCUUUGUGUAUUUUAGAUGUUUUAUGAACUUUUAUUUCAUUCUUUGAUAAUGCAAUUACUUGCAUGGUUAUGCUCUUAUAUUUUCUAUUUAAGAACAAAUUCAACACAAAUGGCUCCAACGUCAAAACAAACUAUGGGCAUAUAUGCUGCUAAAAGUAAACUAUCACUCUUAAAAACUACCAAAAACUCCAUAUACAUGAUUUGAAAGUAUUAAGACACCUCCAUUUUGCCAGAAAUUUUACAAACCAUAACUUCAUAGCUGCUAUAGGAAAUAAUUAAGAAAAUCACUUUACCCAAACUAAUACUGAGUGAACAUACAAAACUAAGUCCCUUGCCUCUGCUGCAUUUUGUAUAACAGUCCAAUUUAACAAAAACCCAAAAUACCCCUUAUAAUGAUCCCAUAACGAAUGGUUAUUGCUCAGACUCUUUCCAUAGCAAUUGCUACCAGCUACCCCUACCACUGCUUCCAUACGUAAUUCUUUUGUAAGCUCACCCACUAAGAAACCACUUUUAAGUCAGUCUCUAUUAUAAGUAUAAAAGGACGUAAAGGCCACAAGUGCACCAUAACUUCGGCAACACCAUGAAAGGAUUUAUAGAACAAGAAGCAAGCAAAAUAUGAUCAAUCAAAGACAACGGUAAAGUAUUCAUUCUCUAAAGAAGAAUGCCCUCUGAUGAAAAUGUUAUCCUGAAGUACAAAAAAUGUAACCAGACUUAAUAUCAUUCAAUGGAUUAGAGGAGUGCUUACAUCCUUUAGCCCGACAUAUCCA
Molecule: unclassified non-coding RNA, 812 nt
Filed under: Hevea brasiliensis (rubber tree)
Lineage: Eukaryota; Viridiplantae; Streptophyta; Magnoliopsida; Malpighiales; Euphorbiaceae
Source: RNAcentral